Molecule: long non-coding RNA, 1003 nt
Filed under: Phasianus colchicus (ring-necked pheasant)
Lineage: Eukaryota; Metazoa; Chordata; Aves; Galliformes; Phasianidae
Description: lncRNA (ENSPCLG00000012803.1)
Source: RNAcentral
AUCCCAUAAUUAAAGGGCAUAUUUAAGUAAUGAAACUCUGGAUUGCUCAUCCUUAAGUGGUGUGUGCAAUCUUCAACAAUGGCAAUACAACAAAACGUGUAUUUUGGUAGGAGUAACCAAGUGCAAGCUAAUAUUUCCAAAAGAAGGACUUGGAGCUGCUGAUACAUGACACGCCAGGAGAGUCUGUGGCCUUUGGAAAUGAAUCACCUUUAAAAAGGAAUGACCAGGAUGACCUGAAGCAGGUGAAGAGGCAGUCAGCCCAGCUCACUUUUUCCUUCUGUGCAGUGUCAUCAUAAAACUCUACACUGAUUUUCAUCUGUUGUGACCACACAGUUAAGAAAGGCUCUUCAGCCCUCGCCAAACCCAUCACCUAACACUCGAGGAAUAGAGGCUUCCAAGCAUUUUGGACACCUGCCCCAUUUCUGAAGGCCCCAUUUUCAGGGGGCAGUGCAGAUGCCUAACUAUGAGCAAGGAGGAAUACAUCUGGGAGUACGUAUGUGCCAAGGCUCUGGCAGGGAGAUGAAGCCUACAUUUGCCACGUCUGGUUUCCAAAAUAACAGAUGACUGAGCAGUGCAACUGCAUUCAGUGCUGGCAUGGCAGCCUCAGGAAUGAGAAGAAGCUCCUGGUGACAGAUCCAUUAUUGCAAACCCACGCCAGGCUGUAGGAUAUGGGGGAAAAGAAAGGAUCCAGGUACAGAAAAAUUGAUUUCUUUAAUUUCUCCUGCUUGCAACUGCGUUCAACUAUUGUUCUUUAAAGCAGUGUGUAAUACAGCUCUGUUCACCAAGUGGGGUAUGGUUAGAGGACCACUGAGCACAGCUAUCUGGGAGGUUUAUAACAUCUUCUGAUUUCCUUUGGGUAACUGGGGAAAGGUUAGAGGAACAUGAUAACACCACACAACUUGUGGGGGGAUAUUCCCCUUUUAUGUACUGUUCUAAGGAGCUUUCAAUUCUAGGUUAUUGUAUCUAAAUCCAUUCCAAUCUGGUAGUGAAUGUAGUCUGUUCC